Molecule: ribosomal RNA, 912 nt
Filed under: uncultured bacterium
Lineage: Bacteria
Description: bacterial SSU rRNA
Rfam family: Bacterial small subunit ribosomal RNA
Source: RNAcentral
AGAGUUUGAUCCUGGCUCAGAUUGAACGCUGGCGGCAUGCUUUACACAUGCAAGUCGAACGGCAGCGCGGACUUCGGUCUGGCGGCGAGUGGCGAACGGGUGAGUAAUAUAUCGGAACGUACCCAAGAGUGGGGGAUAACGUAGCGAAAGUUACGCUAAUACCGCAUACGAUCUAAGGAUGAAAGCAGGGGAUCGCAAGACCUUGUGCUCCUGGAGCGGCCGAUAUCUGAUUAGCUAGUUGGUGGGGUAAAGGCCCACCAAGGCAACGAUCAGUAGCUGGUCUGAGAGGACGACCAGCCACACUGGAACUGAGACACGGUCCAGACUCCUACGGGAGGCAGCAGUGGGGAAUUUUGGACAAUGGGCGCAAGCCAGAUCCAGCAAUGCCGCGUGAGUGAAGAAGGCCUUCGGGUUGUAAAGCUCUUUUGUCAGGGAAGAAAAGGUUGCGGCUAAUAUCCGCAACUGCUGACGGUACCUGAAGAAUAAGCACCGGCUAACUACGUGCCAGCAGCCGCGGUAAUACGUAGGGUGCAAGCGUUAAUCGGAAUUACUGGGCGUAAAGCGUGCGCAGGCGGUUUCGUAAGUCUGUCGUGAAAUCCCCGGGCUCAACCUGGGAAUGGCGAUGGAGACUGCGAGGCUAGAGUUUGGCAGAGGGGGGUAGAAUUCCACGUGUAGCAGUGAAAUGCGUAGAGAUGUGGAGGAACACCGAUGGCGAAGGCAGCCCCCUGGGUCAAAACUGACGCUCAUGCACGAAAGCGUGGGGAGCAAACAGGAUUAGAUACCCUGGUAGUCCACGCCCUAAACGAUGUCUACUAGUUGUUGGGUCUUAAUUGACUUAGUAACGCAGCUAACGCGUGAAGUAGACCGCCUGGGGAGUACGGUCGCAAGAUUAAAACUCAAAGGAAUUGACGG